UAAAGGAAGCGAUUCCGGCUACGGAUGGUCAUGCGUCGCAUUAGCUAGUUGGCGGGGUAACGGCCCACCAAGGCGACGAUGCGUAGGGGUUCUGAGAGGAAGGUCCCCCACACUGGUACUGAGACACGGACCAGACUCCUACGGGAGGCAGCAGUGAGGAAUAUUGGUCAAUGGCCGCAGGGCUGAACCAGCCAAGUCGCGUGAGGGAUGACGGUCCUAUGGAUUGUAAACCUCUUUUGUCAGGGAGCAAAGGGCGCCACGUGUGGCGCUUUGCGAGUACCUGAAGAAAAAGCAUCGGCUAACUCCGUGCCAGCAGCCGCGGUAAUACGGAGGAUGCGAGCGUUAUCCGGAUUUAUUGGGUUUAAAGGGUGCGCAGGCGGAAUGUCAAGUCAGCGGUAAAAUUUCGGGGCUCAACCCCGUCGUGCCGUUGAGACUGGCGUUCUUGAGUGAGCGAGAAGUAUGCGGAAUGCGUGGUGUAGCGGUGAAAUGCAUAGAUAUCACGCAGAACUCCGAUUGCGAAGGCAGCAUACCGGCGCUCAACUGACGCUCAUGCACGAAAGCGUGGGUAUCGAACAGGAUUAGAUACCCUGGUAGUCCACGCAGUAAACGAUGAAUACUAACUGUCCGGGCAGAAUGAUGCCUGG
RNAcentral lists this ribosomal RNA (644 nucleotides) under uncultured bacterium. RNAcentral's name for it is "bacterial SSU rRNA". It matches the Rfam family "Bacterial small subunit ribosomal RNA", at positions 202 to 842 of the family's 1533-position model. The record is from RNAcentral.